UAGGGAAAGAGAGAAAUUUUAUUUUUUGAGUUACAAAACCAACACUACUUAUGUAAGGCUACUAUACUUUUUAAGAAGUGAACUUUUUUUAAAGGAAAAUUUUUGGAUUUUUAUUGAUUAAUUAAACUCAUGCAUCACUUUGGGCCCAACACCCUUAUUAAUCCACACAAAACAAGAAAAUAAAAAACAAAAAAAACACUUAACACUUAAAAAUAGCCCAACCCGUUCCAAUAAUGACCUGAACAUGUUGCUCCUAUAUAUACCCUUUGUAGGUUUCCUAUUCCCACUUUGUAUUCCAUUUCCAAUCCCCCACCUAUAGUUAUGUUGCCACCGCAUGAUAACUCCACUUUCAUCAUACUACUUCCUUGGGUCAUUAACUUUUUUGGCUUAAUCCUUCCAUGUCCUGCUGUAUCAGCUAUCACGAGUAAUGUUUCUUCCUUGUUUUGAUUUCUUUGUUGUUUUGCCUGAUUUUUAUUUUUUCCAGCUGAGACCUCUGAUAGAUGGAGAAGAGUGCAACACUCUGUUUGAUCCAAUCUCCUGGCAGUUCGUUCUCUCAUUCUUUUAUCUGGUGGAGCUGGAAUGAAAUGCAUGGAUAACUUCAAUCCAUUGCCCCAAAUAUUAAAAGUUCAAGUUCCAGGUCGAUUCGGGCUCCUUCCAUUUUGCUGGGCCAUUUUUAUUGAUUGAAGUACAUAGGCUAGCUAGAUUUUCACCUUUUUGGUUGGCUCUUCUGCUCUUGUAAAUAUGCUUUGUGAAAAAUUGUAUGCUAAGCCUUCCUAGCCCCAUCACCCCUUGCAUGGUGAUACUCUUACAUAUGGACACUAGUUCUUAUCAGUAUUAAGUAUUCUCCUUUC
Capsicum annuum is the source of this 851-nucleotide long non-coding RNA. RefSeq lists it as uncharacterized. The record is from RefSeq and is a predicted model, not a curated record. The transcript has 2 exons. Lineage: Eukaryota; Viridiplantae; Streptophyta; Magnoliopsida; Solanales; Solanaceae.